RNAcentral lists this non-coding RNA (25 nucleotides) under Mus musculus (house mouse). Lineage: Eukaryota; Metazoa; Chordata; Mammalia; Rodentia; Muridae. The record is from RNAcentral.
UUCUAGCGGCACCUGGUGAACUACA